Long non-coding RNA from Vicia villosa (hairy vetch), 2763 nucleotides. RefSeq lists it as uncharacterized. The transcript has 5 exons. The record is from RefSeq and is a predicted model, not a curated record. Lineage: Eukaryota; Viridiplantae; Streptophyta; Magnoliopsida; Fabales; Fabaceae.
CUUACAUUCAACAUAACACACAUAAUCUCUCUCAUCUGUAACCACUAUUCCGUCUUCUCUUCUCUCUCUGUUUCCAUAUUCACAUUCCCACUCUUUCCACACUUUCCCUUAUUCUCUCUCUCUCUGUCUCUUCCGUUUUCAUUCUCCUAUCUCUUUCCCCCUCAAACCCUAACACCUUCAUGAUCCUAUUUCUCCCUUUUAUCUAUGGAAGUGAUGCAGUACUGCAAAAAAUCUUGGUGCGAAAUCUGAAGGUUUUGGUCGAUUGCACCGACAAUGAAAGACACGACAACCACCAGAAAACGCUUCCAGAUCUGACCAACACAAAUCAAAGCUUUACUGGUUUGAUAAGAAUGGAAAUCAGUGGAAGGAGAGAGGGGCUGGUAAGCAUAAGAUUACCGAUAAAGUUAGGCUUCUCAUGAGGCAAUCCAAGACGCUCAAGAUUUGCGCAAAUCAUUUCCGUAUGUGUUUUCUGCAACUUUGUUUUGCGAUUUUGAUUUUAAGAUUUGAUUUUUCUAACUGAUUUUCUAUUGUUUUGUAGUCAUACUUACUAUGUUUAUGCAAAGAACGUGAUUUUGAUAGAGAUUUAGGAUGCAUUUCAAGGUUGAUGUUCUUUCAUUUGACAACUGAUCCUAUUACUUCAUUGGUUAACACCGCAUUCAUCGGCAAAUAGGUAUUUUAUCAUCGCAUCGACACAUAUGGUUACAUUUAGUAAUUUCAUUUUCCAAAUUAUUAUUAGUGUUGACGUGUUAAUUAGUGUAAUUAACUUAGAUUGUAUAUUUGAAUUUGCUAUAAUGGACUUACUGUUUGAAGAUUAUUCAUCCUUACACUUCACCUCCUGAUUAGUAACAUAUGAAUGUGUUCAUAACUCAGAUUCGGAUUUUAAAAGCUUUAAUUUAGUUAAGGAUGUUGAACAUAAGAUAAGGCAUAUUCCUUCAGCUUCGUCCGCAUUAUUUAUCGGAGGUAUCCUUGGAGUUGUCCAGGCAAUGUUACUUAUUUCUGCAGCAAAACCUUUAUUGAGCUUCAUGGGAGUAACUUCUCUAAGUACUUCUGUAAAAAUAUCAAGAGACUUACUUAUAGACCAAUAAGCGAUAGCGAUACAAAAUUUAUUUUUAAGUGAUUUGGCCUCGUAUUAGCAUUGGAUGAUUGCAAAUUAAAACGAAUUAUUUAUACAGGAUUCUCCUAUGCUACAUCCUGCACAACAAUACCUAAAAUUGAGGUCUCUUGGUGCUACUGCAGUUCUUCUUUCAUUAGCAAUGCAACGAGUUUUUCGAGGAUUUAAAAACACGAAAACUCCUUUCUAUGCCACUGAUGCACUGAAGCUGCUAGCAAUUUUGAGACGGUCUGUUCCCCGUGCUGCUGCGACCGUAGGAGCCUGGCUUAACAUAUUUUAGGUAUUUAUUUUUCAGGACUUUGGAAGGUUCUGUCAAUUAUUAGUUUAGAUGAUCCACUUUAUACUUAAUUCUCAUCUCACUGAUCAUUUGAGGAUAUCCUUGACUUUAGCAGUUUCUCAUAUUGAUGUUAAUUUGCACCAACUGUUCUCUUUUGGUAUGGCUAUAUGAUGAGGAAGGAAAAUGGAAAGUAGAACUUGGACUUGCAGCAAUUUUAAUCAUGGAACAUGUCCUUUUGUUGAUUUAGUUCGGUUUCUCUCGCUUGGUUCCCGAGGAACCUGCUUGGGUAAGAGCGAACUGAGCAAAACACACUACACAGGCACAAGAUUUAUGUUCUAAGAAGCUUUUAAGAACAAUCUCGGGAGGAGAAAGGAACUAUGGAGAGAUGAAGGUUAAGGGGCUUUAAUCACAGUGAAGCUUUUUCAGUUUUUUGAGUCUCACUUUUUUCACACUCCAGCAAGAGAUAAAGAAAGCUUAAGUUGGAUUUUUAUUUUUGUUUUCUCUAUUUCCUAUACCAGAAAUGUAUAUCAAAAUAUAGAUUUUGUAGUAAAUGUAAAUAUAGAAAUUAAUUAUAACUUGAAGAUUUUCAAAAUAUAGAAAGAACAAAACUAUCUAUAAGAAGAAAAUACAACUCAUUCUGCAGAAUUUGUAAUCAUUUCACACACACUAUAUAGUUUAUCUUUGAAUUUAAAUACGUGACUUGCCAUGAUAUCUUCCCAAACUGCCACUAACUUGAUUUCAUCUUUCAGCUUAUUUGAAUCCAUCUAUUUCAGCUUCUUUUCUGGCUCUUUAGAGAUUUCUUCACUGACAUAUAUAGCUCAUAUUUUGAUCAGGGCCGUCUUUGAGGGCGUGCAAGGCGGGCUACUGCACAGGGCCUCAAAUUUUUUACGAUUAAACUGUUACUAAAUAGGGCCUCAUAAAUCUUUGUCACUAUUAAAAUAGGGUUAAAUGGAGCCUCUAAUUAUUUUGUCAUGGUUAAAUCCUAACUAACCUACACAGGGCCUCUACAAAAUUGAGACGGCCCUGAUUUUGAUGGUUUCUUUGAUACUAUGAUUAAUUGUUUAAAUUUGUUUGUGAAAAUUAAUGUUGUACAAUGUUUGAAAUUAUGAUGUUUUGGUCAUGGUUUUAAAGGGUGCCGAAUUGGAAUUAUACAAGUACGAUAAUAGGUGAAUGCGUGUCAUAAUUUGCCUUCAUUGACUUUAGUUAGUUAUACUCCCUUAACAAGUUUAAUUUGAUUAAUACUUGAUCUUACUAUAUUAGUUAUACUCCCUCCAUAUUAAAAUAUAAACAAAAUUUAAUUAAACUAUACAAAAAGAUGUGUUAUUUAGAUACACCACAAUCUGUAGUAGAGAUGCCUUCUUUAAAAUAGACCUAU